GAAAGGCGUGCGAUACAGGGUGACAGCCCCGUACACAAAAAUGCACAUAUUGUGAGCUCGAUGAGUAGGGCGGGACACGUGGUAUCCUGUCUGAAUAUGGGGGGACCAUCCUCCAAGGCUAAAUACUCCUGACUGACCGAUAGUGAACCAGUACCGUGAGGGAAAGGCGAAAAGAACCCCGGCGAGGGGAGUGAAAAAGAACCUGAAACCGUGUACGUACAAGCAGUGGGAGCCUCUUAAUGAGGUGACUGCGUACCUUUUGUAUAAUGGGUCAGCGACUUAUAUUCUGUAGCAAGGUUAACCGAAUAGGGGAGCCGAAGGGAAACCGAGUCUUAACUGGGCGUUAAGUUGCAGGGUAUAGACCCGAAACCCGGUGAUCUAGCCAUGGGCAGGUUGAAGGUUGGGUAACACUAACUGGAGGACCGAACCGACUAAUGUUGAAAAAUUAGCGGAUGACUUGUGGCUGGGGGUGAAAGGCCAAUCAAACCGGGAGAUAGCUGGUUCUCCCCGAAAGCUAUUUAGGUAGCGCCUCGUGAAUUCAUCUCCGGGGGUAGAGCACUGUUUCGGCAAGGGGGUCAUCCCGACUUACCAACCCGAUGCAAACUGCGAAUACCGGAGAAUGUUAUCACGGGAGACACACGGCGGGUGCUAACGUCCGUCGUGAAGAGGGAAACAACCCAGACCGCCAGCUAAGGUCCCAAAGUCAUGGUUAAGUGGGAAACGAUGUGGGAAGGCCCAGACAGCCAGGAUGUUGGCUUAGAAGCAGCCAUCAUUUAAAGAAAGCGUAAUAGCUCACUGGUCGAGUCGGCCUGCGCGGAAGAUGUAACGGGGCUAAACCAUGCACCGAAGCUGCGGCAGCGACACUAUGUGUUGUUGGGUAGGGGAGCGUUCUGUAAGCCUGUGAAGGUGGCCUGUGAGGG
This 920-nucleotide ribosomal RNA is filed under the name Escherichia coli. RNAcentral describes it as "partial 23S ribosomal RNA". It matches the Rfam family "Bacterial large subunit ribosomal RNA", at positions 345 to 1269 of the family's 2925-position model. Lineage: Bacteria; Pseudomonadati; Pseudomonadota; Gammaproteobacteria; Enterobacterales; Enterobacteriaceae. The record is from RNAcentral.